This 501-nucleotide ribosomal RNA is filed under the name uncultured bacterium. Its description in RNAcentral is "partial 16S ribosomal RNA". It matches the Rfam family "Bacterial small subunit ribosomal RNA", at positions 30 to 523 of the family's 1533-position model. The record is from RNAcentral.
AUUGAACGCUGGCGGCAUGCUUUACACAUGCAAGUCGAACGGCAGCGCGGGGGCAACCCUGGCGGCGAGUGGCGAACGGGUGAGUAAUGCAUCGGAACGUAUCCUGUAAUGGGGGAUAACUAAUCGAAAGAUUAGCUAAUACCGCAUACGCUCGGGAGAGGAAAGUGGGGGAUCGCAAGACCUCACGUUAUAGGAGCGGCCGAUGUCUGAUUAGCUAGUUGGUGAGGUAAAGGCUCACCAAGGCGACGAUCAGUAGCUGGUCUUAGAGGAUGAUCAGCCACACUGGGACUGAGACACGGCCCAGACUCCUACGGGAGGCAGCAGUGGGGAAUUUUGGACAAUGGGGGUAACCCUGAUCCAGCCAUGCCGCGUGCGGGAAGAAGGCCUUCGGGUUGUGAACCGCUUUAGUCUAGGAAAAAGGAAUGCAGGAUUAAUACCCUUGUGUUUUGAUGGUACUGGAAGAAUAAGCACCGGCUAACUACGUGCCAGCCGCCGCCGUAA